CAGUCGCCGCGGGAAUACGUAGGGUGCGAGCGUUAAUCGGAAUUACUGGGCGUAAAGCGUGCGCAGGCGGUUCGUUAAGACAGAUGUGAAAUCCCCGGGCUUAACCUGGGAACUGCAUUUGUGACUGGCGAGCUAGAGUAUGGCAGAGGGGGGUAGAAUUCCACGUGUAGCAGUGAAAUGCGUAGAGAUGUGGAGGAAUACCGAUGGCGAAGGCAGCCUCCUGGGCCAAUACUGACGCUCAUGCACGAAAGCGUGGGGAGCAAACAGGAUUAGAUACCCCCGUAGUCCCUGUCUCUUAUAC
This 301-nucleotide ribosomal RNA is filed under the name uncultured bacterium. Its description in RNAcentral is "partial 16S ribosomal RNA". It matches the Rfam family "Bacterial small subunit ribosomal RNA", at positions 509 to 807 of the family's 1533-position model. The record is from RNAcentral.